GUGUCAGCAGCCGCGGUAAUACGGAGGGGGCGAGCGUUAUUCGGAAUUAUUGGGCGUAAAGGGCGCGUAGGCGGCUUGACAAGUCAAAGGUGAAAUCCCUCGGCUCAACUGAGGAACUGCCUUUGAAACUGUCUGGCUUGAGGCCGGGAGGGGGUAGCGGAAUUCCCAGUGUAGCGGUGAAAUGCGUAGAUAUUGGGAGGAACACCAGUGGCGAAGGCGGCUACCUGGACCGGUUCUGACGCUGAUGCGCGAAAGCGUGGGUAGCAAACAGGAUUAGAAACCCCCGUAGUCC
RNAcentral lists this ribosomal RNA (292 nucleotides) under uncultured bacterium. RNAcentral describes it as "partial 16S ribosomal RNA". It matches the Rfam family "Bacterial small subunit ribosomal RNA", at positions 505 to 796 of the family's 1533-position model. The record is from RNAcentral.